ACGACCGUACCGCAAACCGACACUGGUGCGCGAGAUGAGUAUUCUAAGGCGCUUGAGAGAACUCAGGAGAAGGAACUCGGCAAAUUGACACCGUAACUUCGGAAGAAGGUGUGCCUUUAGUAGGUGAACCUGUACAAGGGGAGCCCAAUGAGGUUGCAAAAAAUCGGUGGCUGCGACUGUUUAAUAAAAACACAGCACUCUGCAAACACGAAAGUGGACGUAUAGGGUGUGACGCCUGCCCGGUGCUGGAAGAUUAAAUGAUGGGGUGCAAGCUCUUGAUUGAAGUCCCAGUAAACGGCGGCCGUAACAAUAACGGUCCUAAGGUAGCGAAAUUCCUUGUCGGGUAAGUUCCGACCUGCACGAAUGGCGUAACGAUGGCCACACUGUCUCCUCCUGAGACUCAGCGAAGUUGAAAUGUUUGUGAUGAUGCAAUCUCCCCGCGGAAAGACGGAAAGACCCCAUGAACCUUUACUGUAGCUUUGUAUUGGACUUUGAACAGAUCUGUGUAGGAUAGGUGGGAGGCUUUGAAGUGUGGUCGCUAGAUCGCAUGGAGCCAACGUUGAAAUACCACCCUGGUGUGUUUGAGGUUCUAACCUAGGCCCGUAAUCCGGGUCGGGGACAGUGCAUGGUAGGCAGUUUGACUGGGGCGGUCUCCUCCCAAAGCGUAACGGAGGAGUUCGAAGGUACGCUAGGUACGGUCGGACAUCGUGCUAAUAGUGCAAUGGCAUAAGCGUGCUUAACUGCGAGACUGACAAGUCGAGCAGAUGCGAAAGCAGGACAUAGUGAUCCGGUGGUUCUGUAUGGAAGGGCCAUCGCUCAACGGAUAAAAGGUACUCUGGGGAUAACAGGCUGAUACCGCCCAAGAGUUCAUAUCGACGGCGGUGUUUGGCACCUCGAUGUCGGCUCAUCUCAUCCUGGGGCUGUAGCCGGUCCCAAGGGUAUGGCUGUUCGCCAUUUAAAGAGGUACGUGAGCUGGGUUUAAAACGUCGUGAGACAGUUUGGUCCCUAUCUUCCGUGGGCGCUGCAGAUUUGAGGAAGCCUGCUCCUAGUACGAGAGGACCGGAGUGGACACACCUCUGGUGUAUCGGUUGUCACGCCAGUGGCAUUGCCGAGUAGCUAUGUGUGGAAGAGAUAACCGCUGAAAGCAUCUAAGCGGGAAACUCGUUUCAAGAUGAGAUCUGCCGGGGCCUUGAGCCCCCUAAAGAGUCGUUCAAGACCAGGACGUUGAUAGGUCGGGUGUGGAAGCGCAGUAAUGCGUUAAGCUAACCGAUACUAAUUGCUCGUGCGGCUUGACCUA
Molecule: ribosomal RNA, 1297 nt
Filed under: metagenome
Description: bacterial LSU rRNA
Rfam family: Bacterial large subunit ribosomal RNA
Source: RNAcentral